Molecule: ribosomal RNA, 117 nt
Filed under: Cutibacterium avidum
Lineage: Bacteria; Bacillati; Actinomycetota; Actinomycetes; Propionibacteriales; Propionibacteriaceae
Description: partial 16S ribosomal RNA
Rfam family: Bacterial small subunit ribosomal RNA
Source: RNAcentral
UUUUUCAUUGGAGAGUUUGAUCCUGGCUCAGGACGAACGCUGGCGGCGUGCUUAACACAUGCAAGUCGAACGGAAAGGCCCCUUUGGGGGUACUCGAGUGGCGAACGGGUGAGUAAC